Molecule: long non-coding RNA, 214 nt
Filed under: Mytilus galloprovincialis (Mediterranean mussel)
Lineage: Eukaryota; Metazoa; Mollusca; Bivalvia; Mytilida; Mytilidae
Source: RNAcentral
GCUCCUUCUUUCGCGCCAAAAUAUUUGGCAGAGUUAAAGUUCUUGAUUACUCUGUGAUAUGUAACCAAAUUAUAGCGCCACCUGGAGGAUAGAACUUCUUUGUGUCGCGGAUCACUACAAUUCCGGCCAACAAUUUAAGAAGAAUUUCUCCGUAGUGCAUACGAGGUUAUUGUACUGCGUAGCGAGAAUGGCCGAGUAGUUACGAUUGCCAUUU